CGCCGGCAGCUUUCGGCGAAAUCAAAAUGGCCGUCAAGCACACAAUAAAAUCUUGCCCCGUGGGGGGUCCAGGAUAGGAGGCAUUACCCUGAUCCACCAUGGCAGAACUCGAGGCGACCCCUUUGCCCGAGGGCAACGGUCUUGGCCUGCAGGGCGUAGUGGCCGCCACUAAAAUUGAUGCUGGCAGCUGCGAUCCGCCCCGUGACCCCAACAACUUCGACGACGGUGACGACGACGACUUUGGACACUUUGCCACUGCCACCACAGCACCUCCAGCGUCUGCAGCAGACGUGAAAUACAUUCCAGCAGCAGAUGAUGCGGUCACCUCUGAGGUGGCCGUAACAUGUGAUCGCACCAACGGGACAUUGUUGCCCAAUCAGUGUUUAGGUGACAGUGAUGAUGACAGUGAGACUAGUCAGGACACCAGCGGGCUUGCACGCCGAGCUUCGGCAGAACUGCCAUUCUCCAGCGAGACCAGUGGCGUCAAGAGGGAGGACAGCUUUGAUGACUUUCAACAGGCGCAGGCUGUAGUGCCACCAUUCGAGGCGGCGCUUGCACCAGUGGAUGAAGGAAGUGAUUUCGCUAACUUUGAGCAAGCAUGUGACGCAGUGGGGGCAGAUAGUUGUGAGUGGGGUGACUCCAAAGGGGGUGGUUUUGCGGACUUUGCAGCUUUUGGGGAUGCGUCGAAGACUGCCGUGGAGGAUGGUGACUGGGCUGAUGAUGGUUGGAAGUCAUUUGCUGGUGCAGAGGACAGCGGAGCGACAUCGGUUGUGUUACCUGUAGUAUUGCCACAAGAAGAGACUGUCUCUAGUCAGCUGGUGUCGGGAGAGGGCUCAUUUGAAAACCUGCUCCAGAGUGCCUACGCCCUCGAAGAGUUGAGUCCGGUCUCUGCAGAGGAUAAAGACAUUGUGGCUCUCAGCUGUUGCGAGGUUCAUGUAAGGCUGUGGGAGCAGCUCCAGGAUUUGGACCGUGCCCCAUCACUGAAGUUCAGCUGGAAUGGCUCACAGUCAUGUCAGCACCUGCUGCAGAGCCUGUCCAUUGACUCUAGGAAUAUUCUGCGUAACCCGUCAGUGCCGCUGUUUGCCUCCCACCUGGGUCUGCUGGAGCCCCAGCGGGGCGGCACGGCCAGCCCCUCUGCGGAGGAGCCAGCGUCCUCCACGCCUGUCCCUCCUCCGGCCUGCUCAGAGAUAUGGCUUUUGCUGUCGAGACAUGCCCGGGUUCUGACGGCCCCUAUGCGCAGCAGGCCGGUGCGGACAGCGCCAUUCCUCCGGCUCAGUUUGACUGGACUUCGAGCGGCCUGGUAAACCCUUUGGAGCAGCCGGCUGCCUCGACGUUGCUGGACCUCGAAUUUCUUUCGAGCCUCUCGUCGGCCACCGUGGGCAGCAGUCCUCCAACGAGCAGUCUGGAGAAAGAAUUCCUGGGGUUGAGCGGUUCUGAGGAAGCACCAGUGUUGUCGCAGUCUUCUGCACCAUCAAAGCUACAGGAGCUGUUACGGAACAAUGUGUCCACCCUGUCGUCAACACGCCGUCGGCCCUCGCUGCUCAGCGGC
RNAcentral lists this unclassified non-coding RNA (1549 nucleotides) under Dermacentor andersoni. Its description in RNAcentral is "aftiphilin-like". The record is from RNAcentral. Lineage: Eukaryota; Metazoa; Arthropoda; Arachnida; Ixodida; Ixodidae.